UAGGGAAUCUUCGGCAAUGGACGAAAGUCUGACCGAGCAACGCCGCGUGAGUGAAGAAGGUUUUCGGAUCGUAAAACUCUGUUGUUAGAGAAGAACAAGGACAUUAGUAACUGAACGUCCCCUGACGGUAUCUAACCAGAAAGCCACGGCUAACUACGUGCCAGCAGCCGCGGUAAUACGUAGGUGGCAAGCGUUGUCCGGAUUUAUUGGGCGUAAAGCGAGCGCAGGCGGUUUCUUAAGUCUGAUGUGAAAGCCCCCGGCUCAACCGGGGAGGGUCAGUGGAAACUGGGAGACUUGAGUGCAGAAGAGGAGAGUGGAAUUCCAUGUGUAGCGGUGAAAUGCGUAGAUAUAUGGAGGAACACCAGUGGCGAAGGCGGCUCUCUGGUCUGUAACUGACGCUGAGGCUCGAAAGCGUGGGGAGCAAACAGG
This 429-nucleotide ribosomal RNA is filed under the name Gemmatimonadota bacterium. Its description in RNAcentral is "Gemmatimonadetes bacterium partial 16S ribosomal RNA". It matches the Rfam family "Bacterial small subunit ribosomal RNA", at positions 355 to 776 of the family's 1533-position model. The record is from RNAcentral. Lineage: Bacteria; Pseudomonadati; Gemmatimonadota.